GAAGCUAAUACCGGAUAUGACGUACGGAGGCAUCUCCUGUGCGUGGAAAGAAUUUUGGUCAAGGAUGGACUCGCGGCCUAUCAGGUAGUUGGUGAGGUAACGGCUCACCAAGCCUACGACGGGUAGCCGGCCUGAGAGGGUGACCGGCCACACUGGGACUGAGACACGGCCCAGACUCCUACGGGAGGCAGCAGUGGGGAAUAUUGCACAAUGGGCGCAAGCCUGAUGCAGCAACGCCGCGUGAGGGACGACGGCCUUCGGGUUGUAAACCUCUUUUAGUAGGGAAGAAGCGAAAGUGACGGUACCUGCAGAAAAAGCACCGGCUAACUACGUGCCAGCAGCCGCGGUAAUACGUAGGGUGCAAGCGUUGUCCGGAAUUAUUGGGCGUAAAGAGCUCGUAGGCGGUUUGUCGCGUCUGCUGUGAAAACCCGAGGCUCAACCUCGGGCCUGCAGUGGGUACGGGCAGACUAGAGUGCGGUAGGGGAGAAUGGAAUUCCUGGUGUAGCGGUGGAAUGCGCAGAUAUCAGGAGGAACACCGAUGGCGAAGGCAGUUCUCUGGGCCGUAACUGACGCUGAGGAGCGAAAGCGUGGGGAGCGAACAGGAUUAGAUACCCUGGUAGUCCACGCCGUAAACGUUGGGCGCUAGAUG
This 649-nucleotide ribosomal RNA is filed under the name Cryocola sp. RNAcentral's name for it is "bacterial SSU rRNA". It matches the Rfam family "Bacterial small subunit ribosomal RNA", at positions 159 to 822 of the family's 1533-position model. Lineage: Bacteria; Bacillati; Actinomycetota; Actinomycetes; Micrococcales; Microbacteriaceae. The record is from RNAcentral.